GGAAUUGUUCGCAAUGGGCGCAAGCCUGACGACGCAACGCCGCGUGGAGGAUGACGGUCUUCGGAUUGUAAACUCCUGUUGCCCGGGACGAACCGUUCCGACCUAAUACGUCGGGAUCUGACGGUACCGGGUGAGGAAGCCCCGGAUAACUAUGUGUCAGCAGCCGAGGUAAUACAGAGGGGGCGAGCGUUGUUCGGAAUUACUGGGCGUAAAUGGCGCGUAGGCGGCCUGUUAAGUCGAACGUGAAAUCCCCGGGCUCAACCCGGGAACUGCGUCCGAGACUGGCAGGCUCGAAUCCGGGAGAGGGAUGUGGAAUUCCAGGUGUAGCGGUGAAAUGCGUAGAUAUCUGGAGGAACACCGGUGGCGAAGGCGGCAUCCUGGACCGGCAUUGACGCUGAGGCGCGAAAGCCAGGGGAGCAAAC
RNAcentral lists this ribosomal RNA (422 nucleotides) under uncultured bacterium. RNAcentral describes it as "bacterial SSU rRNA". It matches the Rfam family "Bacterial small subunit ribosomal RNA", at positions 358 to 773 of the family's 1533-position model. The record is from RNAcentral.